GUAAUUUGUCAUUUUAUUUCGACAUAAUAAAAACUAUUGUCAAAAAAUAUUUGCAACUUUCUUACAAGCCUUCUUGAAGGAUUACAUCGGUGCAACUUUCAGGAUAUUGAUUAUUCCACGUACAGUCAUUUCAAAGUUGUAAAUCAGAUUCUUACCACAAGCUUUUAGUAUUUGUUAAGAUCCAAAAUCAAGGGUCAUGAUGGCACUCAUCGCAGCGAAUCUUGACGAGUAAGCCUAUCAUCCAAAUGAUAAACAAAGGGGAAAUAUAGAAAUACCCCUAAGGUAAGGCUUCUAGAACAAUGUCGAACCAUAUAAGUAUAACAAAUGCGGAAAGAAACGUAAACAACAAUGUGUCCAUAACUCCAGAAACCUGAUGUCAAUAGUAUAAGAAUGUAUCUAGUAUAACUCAAAUCCAAAAGAAAUAUAUAUGAAAUCCAAUCAAUACAACUCUGACUCUGAAAACUAGUAAAGACGGUCUAAUUAAUGAGAAAUAUAGUAAAAUACAUCCGGACACCUGAAAAUCAACCACUACCUUAAAAACUCCAACAAUCGCCCAAAUCAAGCAACGUAGGGCACACCCAAACCCAAACCUGCACCAGAAAGGUACAGUAGGAGUGGGUACGAUCCACUUAUACUAGGUAGGUAUCACAGCUCAACCUAGCAAAGUUUUAAGUAUGACAUAUAAAAUACACAUUAAGGGUACGUCACUUGCAAUCAGAAAAUGUCCUAUAAUGGUAGCCCACAUCGCUUGCACUAACAGUUCUAAUAUAUCACAUAUAUUGCAACAAACACAGAAAAGACCACAAAUGUACAAUAACUUACAUACAAGUAGGACAAGGAAGGGUAAUAUACAUACAAGAUCAUUGAGUAUAAGUAUAACAAGAUAGAACAAUUAGAUAUAGAAUAAGUCAAAACAAAAGUAUAAUCAUAUUACAGCCAUAACGGAGUAAACACAAUAACAAUGAUGAUGAUGAUGCACGAGGUUAUUGCACAACCUCUAUAUACACCCAUGGAGGCAAGCCUUCCGACAUGACCAACGGGGUGUUCAUCAACUCGUAUAUAAUUCGUAUAUCAUAUCUCCUCCCUAGCACAUCCCUCGAGAAGGGUUUUAUAAGAUGUCAUAAUAUUUUUUUCCCGGCACAUUCCUCAAGAAGGGUUUUAAAACCAAUGUUUCAUGAGUGAGUGUGAUAUGAGGAUGUAAUUCUCACAAUCAAUCACAAUUAGUAUUUCCACAACCAACCACAAUGAUAUAUUCAUAACCACGUAAGCCAAUAUUCACUCAUUAUUUCCACCAUCCAUGAAGUUCCACAUGAUUCAUAUGUAGAUAAAGUAUGAAUAUAGCACAAUAUACCAAUUAUACCACAUUAGGAAUUUCAACAAUACAACACAAUUAUUCAUAUAUAUUUCAGUCUAUCCACAUCACAAAGGACCUCACACGGUCACACAUAUCAUAUAAUAUCUCCAAACCAACAAUUACAUCAUAUAUAGGCCCCCACGCGGGAAUAAUACAUUAAGAUAGCCAAUUUUAUGAUUAGUUCUCAUCUCCUUAACAUGCAUUUUGUAUUCAAAUUAACUACUCAUCCCAAUCCAAAAGAGUUAAGCCAUAACCUACCUCAAGGCCAAAAAUUGGUCUGCAACACUUCAAUUCACGACCUUAUUUCUCACAAACUAUCCCAAAAUUAAAAAAAUCAAGAAAUAAAAUAUCUACGUGUCACAAUAAAUCCAAUGAUACUCGUAUUGCCUAAUAUUAGUUUGGGGUCAAAACAGACUCCCAAAAUGGGUUUCCCAAAAAGAAGGACAAAAUCUUAUUUUUAUUUCAAAAAUGUGUUCCCCAUAUCUUUAGAAACCUACAUCUAAAAACUCAAGUAAAAUCGAGUUAAAAAUGAGAUUCAAAACGAAGAAAAACUAUUUUUAAACUUUAUAGGGUAAAAUCUUCUAAAUCCGUUUAAAAUCAAGAAUUGAGGUUGUUUUGAAAAUGAAAUCAAGGAAAAACAAGUAAUUAUAGCAUUAGAAACAUUAUUCAAGUGAAAAUGAGUAAAAUUGAGGUUUAAAAUCACGUCCUUAGAUUUCAGGAUUUUUAGAAAUUAAUCAAGAAAUUCACUAAAAAAAUGGUGAAUUCUAAUCUCAAAUCCUUAAGAGAAUCAAGAAAUGGAUGUUAAUCUAGCUUCCCAAGCACCCACAAGCUUCAGUUUUAAGCUCUCACACUAUUUUAUGGUUUAUCUCUCAAGAGGCAAGAUGAAAAAUGAGCUAAUUAACGACCUAAGGGGUCUAUUUAUACCCCAUCCAGGUAAUUAAAUUUGUAAUCACAUACCCAGGUGUGAAAUUGCACACCCUUGAAGUAGUAGGAGGUGUGGCGAUUGCCAACCCCUUAGUACGAUUGCACUACCCUCUCUGCCGCAUAUAUGUGAUCGCCACUCAAGUGGUGUGAUUGCACAUGCACCAAAAACCAGCUGAAGCUCGAAAAUUCUUUCAAGUGUUUGUCAAUGCCUUGGGAUUCAUUCAAAAUCCAAUGUACGUAAACAAACUAUGUAACCAUACUAAAUUCAAUGCUCUAGACUUAAUGGUGAUGUCAUAUUUUUGAAAAGAAAUUAUUUUCACAAUGUUGACCCCCGAAACUCAAAAUCAUAAUUUUUCAAAAGGAGGGUCGAAAUGAGAUUUAAAAGCCAUAAAACCACACCAAAUAUGUUACCACCUUAAAAUUUAUGUUCUGGAAAUACUGGUACAGUCCAUUUAGCCCUUUGUCGCACGAAUCAAAAGAUAACUACAGAUGUUCAUAAUAAGGCUCUCUAAGCCUCCAAAAACUACAAUAUCGCAUAAAAAGCACCAAAAUGAAUUAGAAACCAUGCCAAUCAAACCCACACCCUAGAAACACCAUAACAUAAUCAUGAAGAGGGGUAAAAUAGUUAAAUCACAUAAAAAUACAUGUUUCACAUAUUUCAUCAAAAUUUUAUGUCGUUACAGUAUUUUGGUUGUGAUAUAUCAUUUUGUGCAACUAUCUCCAUAAUAGAAAGAAAACAAAAUUCUAGUAGAACCAAAUAGGCAUUCUACAUGUGCACAAUCUAAAAUAAUGAUUUCAUUCAGUUGUAGCAAUCAAAAAAAAUUCAAAGAAAAACAUAUGUCAACAUUGAUUCUGAGAGUAAAGUAUUCUUCAUCAACUACAUACCUCAAGCAUUUCGAGAUAAGCCAACAACAUUGAAGAUUUUCAAUCACUAAAUUCAAGCUGAGGUGAACAAAAUACUCCUUUAGCAAUUCAUUUUUUUGUUCUACUGGGAAUUAAUUUAUCAAAAAUUAUCCUCGAUUAAAAAGAAAGAUGUAUAUCCUUAUUAGAAAACAUAAUAACAAAAAGAGAUGAGAAGUCCGAUAGUCAAUCAUGAGACAACCUCUAGCCCAGGCAGACAAGACUGAGAAAUAUUAUCAACAACACCAUGAUCACCAAAAGCCAUGGAAGUUGUUAAUUAGGCUCUUCCCUCUUGGCCACCAUUCAUCUAUGGACUUGGUUUUUUGUAUCCUUAGAAAUCAAGGAUACAAUGGUAAUAUCCUAUAGUACAGAUCUUGUUCAAGUAAGGUCAUGUCCAACUAAGUUGAUGCAACAACAUAUAAACACUAAGUAGCAUUGCUAGCUUAUCGAUGUGGGGCACGAGGUUGGGAAAAAAUGUAUUCAACUCCAGUAUUGUCAUUAUGAGUGGACAUCUGCAACCAAAAACUACCUAAUUCUUACAAUUUAUACAUGUGAUUUCUAUUCUGAGAGAUUGAUGAAUUUGUAUGCUAUAAAAGUAUAUAGGUAAAAUUGAUUAAAACUAAGUUAUGUGCAAUGAGAAGAGACAAAUAUUAUUGAGAAAUUGUUCUCAACUAUCAAUCAAUUCAUAGGCAUCUGAACUAGACCAAAACAAUUGAACUUUGCAUUUGUUAAGAGUUGCAUAAAUGCAGGCCCCGCAGCCAUAAAUUUUGUUGUAGGCACGAUCACUUGGGUCGGACUUAGAUGGGCACCCCUCCAAGAUUGUGUCCCCCUCAAUGGAGUGUAUUAUUAUAGGUUUUUAUAUAGUUAUAAAUAAUUGGGUUGUCUAGAUAUACACUCAAUACCUAUAUCAUAAGUCAAUUUUUCUCAAAAGUUGAAUAAUUUAUCUCAAUAAGAUAUUUCCAAAUCUAUAUGUGUUAUUUAAUUUACAUAAGAGAAAUUGGCUUAUGCCCAGUAAAUUCUACUUAUUCUAAGUGAAUCUAUUAAAUGAGGGCUGUUAAAGUGUAUACUAUAGCAUUAGUUUUUGAUGCAGUAAAAUAGUUUUCACUAUUUUUAUUGUUUUAUUAAUUUAGUACAGAUUUAGUUACUCUAGGCAAUUAGUUAGUUGAGUAGUUAUGUAAGUUGUUAGUAGUUAUUAGAAGGUUCUAGAACAUCAAGUGUGACUCAUGUAAUUUUAUAAAUACCAAGCAUAGUAAUCACAUUAUGUAACUCUUCUAGCUUAUCAAUGAAGCUAAGUUCUUCUCUUUCAAUACGAUAAUAAAAAUACACUUUUCUUCUUCAGUGUAGUCAGCUUCUACUCUUAUAGAGUUGAAUCAGAUGUUUUCAGAUGUUUUAACAUGGUAUCAUAGCCAUUGAUUACAGAGGUUUAGAAGAGACAUUGAUAGAGUUUAGAUCUCUUUUGUGGAGAGAUUCUCAAUAUCUGUUACUAGCAGAAUAUUUCAGUAGUUGUAGAGAAAUCUCUUAUCUCUGUUUUCAGUUAUUUCCAGCAAUUUGGUGUGUAUUAUCAUUGGAGGAUUCAAUUUUGAUUCUAGUAGAGUUUGAUCUCUACCACAAAAAAAUUUUUAAAGGUCUGAAAUGUCACCCAAAAUUGAUCCAAGUGAUCCCUUGUUUAUAGGAACAUCGGAUGUGUCUAGAGCUACCUUGAUUCUAAUUAAGCUUGUUGGAUUAGAGAAUUAUGGAUUAUGGAGCCAAUUGAUGAGGAUUGAAUUAAUGGGGAAAAGAAAAUUUGAUUUGUGGCCGGUGCUUGUAAUAGAAGUUUAUAUAGAGAAGAAUUGCAUGAGCAAUAGGAAACUUGCAAUACCUUAGUGUUGUCAUGGUUAAUAAGCUCUAUUAGUGCAAAAAUGUUAAGUGGCAUUGUAUAUGCCACAAGUCAAUUUAAAGUUUGGGAAGAUCUGAGAGAAAGGUUUGACAAGGUCAAUCACAUAAGGCUCUAUCAGUUACAUAGGGAAAUAAACUCACUAUCUGUAAUACGCCAUAUGUUUCUAAGUUAGGAAGUAAAUAAGUAUUCCUACAUAUGAAAUCUUCUAUCCUAUGAUUCAUAAUUGAGUACAUGACUUACAAUAAAUAUCCUAGUGAUAGGAUAGCUUAUGAUGCAUUAAGCAUGUUCAUAUGAGUCACUUAAGAUAAUACAAGCUAAGAGUUUUUGAAUCCAUCAAGUUUUAAUAUUUGAUUUUGCAAGGGUCAUCUUUGAAUGAGUAUAACUCAAUGUUAAUUUUGUAUUAUGGCUGAUUUAGACCUACCAAAUUGUACAGAAUCAAAUUAGCUUUCCAACGAUAUCAAUUUUGCCUUAAUCCAAUACCCGAGCAAAAAGUUAUGCCCAUUUUCGUGAGAGACAGUAAGCAUAGGCGAUUGGUUAGGCGCUGCCCAACCCAAGCAUAGACGAUUGGUUAGGUGCCGCCCAACCUAGCUUAGUAAAUCACAUGGGCGCCGCUUAAGUCAGUUCCAGGUGCCAAAAAUACUCUGUUUUGAGUUAUUUAAGGGUAAUUAAGUCUUUUAACACUUCUUACAUGUCCCUAAACUUAACCCUACGAAAUAUAUAGCUUCUAAACAAAUUACAACCCUAUUAUCAUCUCAAAGAUCAUCAUACAAGAGCACUAAAAGAGAAAAACAACUAGGUUUGCAUAACUAAUCUUGAAGAUCUGAUUUCAAGGAAAUUCCUCCGUCAAUCAUCAAGAAUCUUCCUUCUAAGGUAUGUGUGAGUUGAUUUAUGGAUCCCUUUCAUUCAUAAAGCUAAAAAACCCUCUUUUUCAUUAUAAAGUAUGAUUUCUAUAUUGUUGGGUGUUGAUGAUCAUGUUGUUGAUAUUGGGUGAUUCCCCAGAUGGAAUCUUUAUAUGUUUUUUUGAAUUUCAUGAUAUCAUAUAAGUUGGAAACAUGUAAAUUUGGUUGUUCAUGAUGUAUNNNNNNNNNNNNNNNNNNNNNNNNNNNNNNNNNNNNNNNNNNNNNNNNNNNNNNNNNNNNNNNNNNNNNNNNNNNNNNNNNNNNNNNNNNNNNNNNNNNNNNNNNNNNNNNNNNNNNNNNNNNNNNNNNNNNNNNNNNNNNNNNNNNNNNNNNNNNNNNNNNNNNNNNNNNNNNNNNNNNNNNNNNNNNNNNNNNNNNNNNNNNNNNNNNNNNNNNNNNNNNNNNNNNNNNNNNNNNNNNNNNNNNNNNNNNNNNNNNNNNNNNNNNNNNNNNNNNNNNNNNNNNNNNNNNNNNNNNNNNNNNNNNNNNNNNNNNNNNNNNNNNNNNNNNNNNNNNNNNNNNNNNNNNNNNNNNNNNNNNNNAUUGUGCAAGUACUUCUAUGUGAUAUGAAAUCCUUUCCAUGCAAUACAUUGUUGAUAACCAUGCUUAGUAUGAGAUCCCUACUUAUGAUAUUAUAAAUUAUGGACUCUACUCUUAUGAUCAAGUCAGUCAUGUGUGUCAGUUUCCUUCCAUCGAGUCCUGGGGGUACUUGUAUCCAAAAACUAUAGUUGUGUGCCUAAAGCCAUGUCAUGUUUCACGAUAUCCGAACACAAGCUAUGAUUCUAUAGACUUUAGUCAGUCAUGUGACUCAGGAAAACCUCAUGAUCUUAGUUAGUUGUCAGAUAUCAGUAACAUUCCGCCAGUUAACGGAAUUUAGUAAGAUAAAGUUAUGCACAGUCAGUUAUUCAUGUCCAGUCCCUCCAGAUGGGAGUAGAGGAAAGCACUAAGUGAACCCAAGGAUGGGAAUUCACCCGCCAAUUCACGGUGUGAUUCUUAGUAGUCAUCCUUGUGUUCCAAAACUACAUAUCGAGUGUAGGUUGAGACAUCUUAACCCGUCAGAUUAGGGUUGAUGAGGUGGCUUAACCCGUCAGCUUAGGGUUCCCACCAUUCUCAUUGAGUACCCGCCAGAUAAGGGUCACUCAUAGGGUGUCCUUACCCGUGGCACGGUAUUGACACCCCUCCAGUCGGGGCAGAGAUUGGACCCCAGCUUAGCCAUAAUAGCAUACAUGGGACAUGUUGGUUAAACAUUAUUUCCCACAGUUUCAGUAUCAGUCUUAGUAAAAAAACUCAGGGCGUUCUUCAGAUUUCAAUAUAUACAGGACUAUUAGAUACAGUCAUCCAUGUUAUCAAUUUUAGUAUCAGUCAUGAUAGUUAUUAGUAAACCAUGUAUUAGCUUACAGGUCAUGCUAUCAUGUAUUCACUGUCCCAGUUUCUAUAUAUAUGUGUUUGCACUCCCACGUUCAUAUUAGUCAGUCAGUGUUGUUCAUGCAUGAAACCCUUUAUGUUCAUCCUACCUUCCUCGUAUACUUUGUACUCCAGUUGUACUGACGUAUUUCCGUUAUGGUGCUUUUUUUUCUUGUUACACCGUAGGUUCGGAGACACGAGCUCCAGCCCAGCAGUAGCGGAAGCAUUCCAGUCACAGAGACACAGUGAGUCCUCAUUAAUUCGAGGACAAUAUGAUUUGAUUCAUUUAUUUAUUUCUUCAGUUUAGUUUUACGACGUUAGUUAGAGACAUGUUUCUUCAACUCCUUGUUCAGAUAGUUUAGAGGCUUUCAGAUUUAUGAUCGGAUUUACGUUCAGAUUGAGUUGUUUUGGGUAUUUUCACCCACAUAGUUUUAUUCAGUUGACCCUUAUGGCCUUACAGUUCUAUGUAUUCUGCAUUAUUAUAUCAUGAUUUGCAGUAUAUAGGUACAGAUAUCAUUCAUGGAUUAGCUUGUGGUCCCUCGGGGUCAUGAGCACUGUGUAGCAUUCCAGUUCAGCGAAUCGGGGUGUUACACUAUCCCAAGUAGCUGAUUCAGUAGCAACUUAUUUCACAAAAUUGAAGAUCUUAUGGAGUGAAUAUGAUGCAGUAGUUCCUGCACCAUCAUCUUCUUGUCCAAGGUCCAAAGACUAUGCCGGUUACCUGUCUGAAUUAAGAUUAAUACAGUUUUUAAGUGGCUUGAAUGAUUUCUAUAAUCAAGCAGGAGACAAAUUCUAUUAAAGAUAGUUACACCUAUACUUAAUCAGGCCUAUUCUAUGAUUUUAAAUUUAACAUUGGCUUGUGCAACUACCACAAAUGAAAAGACAAAGCCAAUUACAAUGCAUGUGAGUAAAAUCUCAAAAAGUAGUUACGGAUCACAAAAUCACAAAGGGAUGAAUUGUGACUAUUGCCACUUCACUAGGCAUACUAAAGAAACUUACUACAAAUUAAUAGGCUAUCCUAAUGAUUGGAAGUAGAAAAGAAGGGUAGGUUACAAUGGUAAUUUAAGAAGAUAUGAAGGAAACAACAAUCAUGCUUAUGGAAGAUCUGGUGGAUAUGGAGGUCAAGGAUAUCAGUUACCUGGUCAAACUAAUAAUUAGUUGUCUUCCCAUGAUUUCAUUGGACAAUAUCCAACUGAUAAUGCAGGGCAAUCGACUCUAUCUAGAAAUCAAAAAUAUAAAGACAUUAGUAGUGUUAUUUUGGCCAAGGCGCAGAGUAUAAGCAGAUUGUGGCCCUAUUGAACAAAGAUAAGCAUUAUUUCAAAUAGGUUAACAUGUCAGGUAUAGCAACUUUCUUGGUAUGUCAUAUUAUUUUACAUGAUUGGAUAAUAGAUUUUGGUGCCACACAUUAUGUUGCAGCGCAUAGAGAUUUUUUUUCUCAAUUUCAUAAGAUAGAUACUACUAAUCAGAAUAAAGUAAAUCUUCCUACUGGUGCUAAGGGAAACAUAACACAUAUUGGAGAUGGACAAGUCCUUAAAGAUGAAGUUCUGGGGGAUGUGUUGUUUUUGUCUAAUUUUAAGCUAAACUUGUUGUUAAUAUCCAAAGUAACCAAACAACUCUCAUGCUUUAUGUCAUUCUAUCCUAAUUUUUGUAUAUUUUAGGACCUUCACAGUGGGAACGUGAAUGGUAUUAGUAAGGAAAAAAAAAGGUUUAUAUACCCUCAAGAAUGUUUGUAGAGUAGAUGAGAUGCACAGAGAUGGUCAAAAUCUGGUUGCAGAAGUAAGUAUACAAGAUUGCAAUCUGUGGCAUAGAAGACUUGGGCAUCCUUUUACUCAAGCUCUGAAGUCACUAAACUUGUUGAGACACAUAAAAGACAUAAAGUCUUUAAAUAGAUGUCAUAUUUGUCCAUUAGCUAAACAAACUAGAAUGAUGUUUCCUACAAGUAGUUCUAGAGCUGAAAGAUGUUUUGAUAUUGUGCACAUGGAUCUUUAGGGCCUUAUAAAAUUUUAACUUUUGAUAAGAAACAUUAUUUCUUAACUAUUGUGGAUGAUUACAGCAGGUAUACUUGUCUUUAUUUGUUACAACUAAAAGCUAAAUGUAUUAUAGAUGUUGAGAAUAUUUUGAGUAUGAUUCAUAAUCAGUUUGAUUCUAAGAUAAAGGUUAUUAGAUCUGAUAAUAGGAUAGAAUUCCUCAACUCUAAGUGUAGAGAGUUAUUUCAGUCUUUGGGCAUAAUACAUCAAAGCAGUUAUCCCUAUACAUCAUAGCAAAAUGGUGUAGUUGAAAUAGAACAUAGACAGAUAUUAAAUGUUGCUAGAGCUAAUAGAUUUCAAGCUCAAAUGCCAAUUAGAUUCUGGGGUCUAAUUGUUAAAGCUGCAGUUUAUAUUAUUAACAGACUACCAUUUUCAUCCAUUGGAGGUAAGAGUCCUUAUGAAAUAUUGUUUUCGAAGGUUCCAUCCUUAACACAUUUGAGAUUUGUUGGUUGCAAAUGUUAUGCUUCAAUAGUAGCAAAAGCUGAUAAGUUUUUAGACAAAGUAAAGAAUACAGUAUUGAUGGGGUAUUCUGCUACUCAAAUGGGUUAGUUGCUGAUGGAUUUCAUCACUAACAAGCUAUUUGUUACUAGAGAUGUUUUAUUAUGAGAGAAUGAAUUCCCUUUUGCAGAAGCAACAACUUUAGAAUCAUCUGAAGAUUUUAUUAAGAUUAAUUAAAGUAUAGUAAAUCAUGAAAUUGAUGAUCUUUAAGCAGCUUGCUCUGAGAUAUUAGAAUCUCAUAUUUAGGUUCCUAAGUUAUCAGAAGAGGAUUUACAUUAGUUACAUGUUCCAGCAAAUACAUUAAUUGAUGUGCCUUCUAGGUCACUAGAUGUAGCUGCAUCAACAUCAUUAACACCUAUAACUGAUGCUCUAAAAAUAUCAUCUAGAAUAACUAAGAAACCUGCUUGGUUGAUGGAUCAUACUUCACCGGGAAAGAAGAAAGGGAGCAAAUACCCCUUAACCAGUUAUAUAUCCUAUGAUAAUACUACUGCAGGUUACCAGUGUUUUGUUUCCAACAUGUCAACACUGGUUGAACCUCAAACUUACAACCAGGCUAUCAAAGAUGAAAAGUGGAUUGAAGUCAUGCAGUUAGAGAUCAAAGAACUUAAAGAUAAUCAUACCUGGGAGGUAGUUGAUAUGCCUCAAGACAAAAAUAUUAUAGGAUCGUGUAGAAAGUUAAAUAUAAAUCUAAUAGAGAAGUGGAAAGAUUUAAAGCAAGAUUAGUAGCCAAGGGCUACAGCCAACAAGAAAGGAUGGACUAUCAUGAUACUUUUUCUCAUGUGGCUAAGAUGGUUAUAGUCAGGUGUAUUAUUGCAUUGGUAGUCUCCAAGGGGUGGUGUAUGUACCAGAUUGAUGUCUACAAUGCCUUUCUUCAAGGUCAUCUGGAUGAAAAAGUUUAUAUGGAGAUGCUAUAAGGCUUUAAAGCAGGAAGAGAAAACAAAGUUUGCAUAUUGAUCAAAUCCUUAAGUGGACUUAAGUACGCUUCAAGAAAGUGGAAUAUCAAGCUAAAUGUAGCUUUUCUUCAUACAGGAUUCACCCAAAGCACACAUGACUAUUCUUUGUUUACAUUAAAAAAGAAAGAAGGCAUGGUUGUAAUCUUGGUAUAUGUGGAUGAUUUUUCCAUCACUGGUGACAACAUUACUAUGAUCAAUAAAGCAAAAGCAACCUUGCAUCAGGAGUUUAAGCUCAAAGAUUUAGGAGAGCUCAAAUAUUUCUUGGGAAUAGAAGUGUUAAAAUUUACAGCUGGGGUCAUAUUGAAUCAGAUGAAGUAUAUUUUAGAGCUCAUUUCAGAGAUUGGAUUAGCUGGGGCUAAACCUGCACCUACCCCAUUAGAAGUUAAUGCCAUGUUAACCUCAGUUGAGUUUGAUAAAGCAACAAGUACCAUAGGGGAUGUUGUUCUCAGGGACAUUAUUUCUUAUCAAAUAUUGGUUGGGAAGUUGAUGUAUGCAACUAUAACUAGACUUGAUAUUAGCUAUGGUGUGCAGAUCUUAAGUCAAUUUACACAACAGCCUAAAAGGUCUCAUUUGGAAGCUGCUAAUAGGGUAAUCAGAUACUUAAAAGGAAUAGUAGGCUGGGGUGUUUGGCUUAAGGCUCAGCCUACUGCAGAUCUUAUGUGAUGGUGUAACUCAGACUGAGCAGCAUGCCCAAACACAAGAAGGUAUGUCACAGGAUAUAUGGUGCAUUUUGGUAAAUCAUUGAUAUCCUGGAAGUCCAAGAAGUAACAUACUAUAUCUAAAAGCUCAGUUGAAGCAGAAUAUAGAAGCAUGGCUUCAGCUCUAGCAUAAAUCACAUAGUUGACAGGGUUAUUUAUAAAAUUGGAUAUGCCUGUCAAUAAGCCUAUCACACUCUUCAGUGAUAGUAAGUCUGCAAUAUAACUAGCAGUCCACCCUAUCUUUCAUGAAAGGACAGAACAUAUUAAGAUUGAUUGACACUUUAUAAGAGAUAAGAUCAAGGAAGGGCUUGUGCAAACUGUAUAUGUUCCCACACUCAUCAAGUUGCAGAUAUUCUUACCAAGAGCAUAACUUAAGACCAACACUCACAUCUUCUAGGCAAGCUUGGUGUGCUUAACAUUUUGCACCCUUCAGCUUGAGGGGGAGUGUUAAAAUAUAUACGAUAGCAUUAGUUUUCUGAUGCAGUAAAUAGUUUUCACUGUUUUUAUUGUUUUACUGAUUUAGUACUGAUUUAGCUACUCUAGGCAAUUAGUUAGUUGAGUAGUUAUACAAGUUGUUAGGAGUAGUUCUUAGAAGGUUCUAGAAUAUCAUGUGUGACUCAUGUGAGUCUAUAAAUACCAAGCAUAGUAAUCACAUUAUGUAACUCUUCUAGCUUAUCAAUGAAGCUAACUUCUUCUCUUUCAAUACGAUAACAAAAACACAGUUUACUUCUUCUUUAGUGUAGUCAGCUUUUGUUCUUUCCAAGUCAGCUCAGAUGUUUUAACAAGGGUUAGCACGUUAAUUUCUCAGUCAGUAUUUCUACCAAAUCCUGAUUUGAGUUUCCAAGAAAAAUUAAAAUAUGAUGACAUAGAUUAGAAUUUACAACUACAACCAACAAAGAAAACGAGAAAUAGGUUGUAUCCUUAUUAUCUAAAAAUAAUAUAAUCACGAAAAUCUUAUAAACACUACACUCAUAUUGCAUCUACAACAUCAAAAGAGGAUUGAGAUACUCAUAAUGUAAGAAAAACAAUAAGAAGUAGAUGGGGAAACAUAAUUGAUUUCUUGGAAUUAAUGAUGAAAAGAAUUAAAGAUUAUUCUUUAGGCUUCACAAAACUGAGUAAAUAGUGAGAGAAAUAAUGUUCUUCAUGUGAAACUAUGAAAUUUCUUUUCAUCCUAUAAAAAUUCCUUCAAAAAGUACUUAUAGUGGCUCAUAAACUCAGAAUCCGAAAAAUAUCAAACUCACCAUCGGCAUAAUCCACGGACUAUUAAACAGGCUUGCGGUUUGUGAAUCCUCUUUUGCUCUAACGUAGAAUCUACUUUAAGGUUACUGAACCUCUAUCGUGAAAUGAUCCAUAAAACACGUGAAAUGAUCUAUGAUUUGUGAUACACUUAUGUACUUGAUCUUCAUAGUGUUUCCUUCCUCAGAUUAGCAAACUGUGAAUGUGAUGUACGAUUUGUACUUUCCACUAUAACUUGGUCAAUCUCAAAAAUCUUGCAUGU
This 13028-nucleotide long non-coding RNA is filed under the name Capsicum annuum. Its description in RNAcentral is "long non-coding RNA (CANN_LNC015774)". The record is from RNAcentral. Lineage: Eukaryota; Viridiplantae; Streptophyta; Magnoliopsida; Solanales; Solanaceae.